RNAcentral lists this RNase P RNA (570 nucleotides) under Terriglobia bacterium. RNAcentral describes it as "RNase P RNA component class A". It matches the Rfam family "Bacterial RNase P class A". From Rfam's summary of the family: Ribonuclease P (RNase P) is a ubiquitous endoribonuclease, found in archaea, bacteria and eukarya as well as chloroplasts and mitochondria. Lineage: Bacteria; Pseudomonadati; Acidobacteriota; Terriglobia. The record is from RNAcentral.
CGGAUGAGCCGGGUGAUCGCCGGUCCCAAAGCAUCGGGACGGGAGGAAAGUCCGGACUCCGGCCGUGGUGAGCUCGCAAGAGUCGGCCACGGCAGGGCGACGCGCCUGGUAACGCCAGGGGGUUGUCGUGAGACGCCCUUCGAAGCUGCCACUGGCAGCUUCUUAGGAUCUUGCGACGGCUACGGAAAGUGCCACAGAAAAUAAACCGCCGGUGAUGCUUGCACCUCGGCGGCAGGCUUUCGGAAAAACCGGGAGCCCGCCUCUUUCGGUCGAGCGCAUUUGGCAAGGGUGAAAAGGUGGGGUAAGAGCCCACCGCCCGGGUGGCGACAUCCGGGGCACGGAAAACCCCGCGUGGAGCAAGGCCAAAUAGGAGGGGAGGGCCGGCCCGGCCCGUAUGCGUUCCGCUCGCAAGAGCGGGCGCUCUGACCCUCGGGUAGGCUGCUGGAGUCCCGGAGCGAUCCGGGACCUAGAGGAAUGAUCGCCGCGCUGCGUGCGCCUCAAGCACUCCGGUGCAAAUAGGAGUGCCGGUCGCGCAGCGGACAGAAUCCGGCUUACAGGCUCAUCCGCCAA